RNAcentral lists this ribosomal RNA (433 nucleotides) under uncultured bacterium. RNAcentral's name for it is "partial 16S ribosomal RNA". It matches the Rfam family "Bacterial small subunit ribosomal RNA", at positions 29 to 507 of the family's 1533-position model. The record is from RNAcentral.
AACGAACGCUGGCGGCAUGCCUAACACAUGCAAGUCGAACGAGACCUUCGGGUCUAGUGGCGCACGGGUGCGUAACGCGUGGGAACCUGCCCUUAGGUUCGGAAUAACUCCCCGGAAGGGGUGCUAAUACCGGAUAAUGUCUUCGGACCAAAGAUUUAUCGCGUUUGGAUGGGCCCGCGUUGGAUUAGCUAGUUGGUAGGGUAAAAGCCUACCAAGGCGACGAUCCAUAGCUGGUCUGAGAGGAUGAUCAGCCACACUGGGACUGAGACACGGCCCAGACUCCUACGGGAGGCAGCAGUGGGGAAUAUUGGACAAUGGGCGAAAGCCUGAUCCAGCAAUGCCGCGUGAGUGAUGAAGGCCUUAGGGUUGUAAAGCUCUUUUACCCGGGAUGAUAAUGACAGUACCGGGAGAAUAAGCUCCGGCUAACUCCGUG